This 30-nucleotide non-coding RNA is filed under the name Homo sapiens (human). The record is from RNAcentral. Lineage: Eukaryota; Metazoa; Chordata; Mammalia; Primates; Hominidae.
CAGAGGAGCAAUUAUGGUUGAUCAAGCCAA